UGCAGGGGGGGGGGCAGCUUGAAAGCAAGGUGACAAUUUGUGAAAAUUUGUGCCCAUUUGCUCCUCUAGACACCCCUGAAAGCCCAGCUUGAAGAUCAGUUAAGGAGUAAGAAAUUGAAACUUUUGAAACUCCACCGGCUCCCAAUGGAUUCAACUCUCCAACGAACAAAAGUAAAGACGAACACUGAUAACUAUGUCAAGUAGACUGUAUUCACCAUGAGACCCCCUGAGUUUAAUGAGUGGCUAUUGAUUUAGCCAACACACUGUAUUAUGUCUUGAAUGGAAGCCAACAUAUUGACAAAUUGCUACGACCAUAACAUAAUCAUUUUUCUUGUUCAGAAGCAUAGAAUAUAAGUUCCAUUAAAAAAACACCCUUUACAUUGUCAGUGGUAAUGCAAUAAAGCCAGCUAAGUACUUGGGGUAAUGGGACGACUAUCGCCGACCAGAUUUUAAAAAUGGCACAUUAAAAAAUGCAAUCAUGUUUUAGGGAAUUCUAUUAGAGCACCUCUCUGUUUAUUGGUAGAACAAAUUUCUCUCCGAAAAUUGUUUUGCUCUGUGCUCAUAAUCAGCGUUCCAAGCUCAGCUGGCGGAGGAGGCAAUAAAUUACACACAACUGAUGCUCA
Xenopus tropicalis (tropical clawed frog) is the source of this 623-nucleotide long non-coding RNA. RefSeq lists it as uncharacterized. The record is from RefSeq and is a predicted model, not a curated record. NCBI's taxonomy places the organism in Eukaryota, Metazoa, Chordata, Amphibia, Anura, Pipidae. The transcript has 2 exons.